This 208-nucleotide ribosomal RNA is filed under the name uncultured Mesotoga sp. RNAcentral's name for it is "partial 16S ribosomal RNA". It matches the Rfam family "Bacterial small subunit ribosomal RNA", at positions 568 to 775 of the family's 1533-position model. The record is from RNAcentral. Lineage: Bacteria; Thermotogati; Thermotogota; Thermotogae; Kosmotogales; Kosmotogaceae.
AGCGUAGGUGGCCUAACAUGUCAACUGUGAAAACCCGGAGCUCAACUCCGGACUUGCAGUUGGAACUGGUAGGCUUGAGGACGGUAGAGGAAGACGGAACUGCCAGUGUAGGGGUAAAAUCCUUAGAUAUUGGCAGGAACGCCGGUGACGAAGGUGGUUUUCUGGGCCGGUUCUGACACUGAUGCUCGAAAGCCAGGGGAGCGAACGG